This is a non-coding RNA of Dipodomys ordii (Ord's kangaroo rat), 70 nucleotides long. NCBI's taxonomy places the organism in Eukaryota, Metazoa, Chordata, Mammalia, Rodentia, Heteromyidae. The record is from Rfam.
GAAGUUGGCUCAGUGGUAGAGUGCUUGCCUCUUAUGCAUGAAGCCCUGGGUUCAAUUCCUCAGCACAUCA